Molecule: long non-coding RNA, 3538 nt
Filed under: Canis lupus familiaris (dog)
Lineage: Eukaryota; Metazoa; Chordata; Mammalia; Carnivora; Canidae
Description: lncRNA (ENSCAFG00845019970.1)
Source: RNAcentral
UCCCAACCUGAGAACAACAGAUAUUAAUUUUGUGGCUACUAUGGGUAAAAAAAAAUUCUCAUAUUUUGGUCAUGGUAGAUGAAUGUAGCAAUGUCUAAUAAAAUAGCAAUGUCAAAUCAAUGCCUGAAUGACCAAAAUUUAUGAAUAAUUUUCAUACAAAGAUUAAUUAUUUAACUUUCAAAAUUAUUGAGGGUAUUUCCAUUGAGGAGUAGGAAUUAAGACUGGAUCCCUAAUAGGGUUUCUUUUUUGUUAUUAUUAUAAGUUUUACUUUUUUAUUAUUAUUGGUUUCUUCAUUUCAUUUGAAACUCAAGUAUAGAAUUCAAUUAAUAAUUCUCCUUAAUUGUGGAUACCCUAUUAUCAUUGGUGCAUGACUCCUCCAUUGGAUCAUUUUACUUAUUUUUUAUCUUACUAUCCACAACCCUAUUCCAUUUAUUCUAUCCUCAAAGACUUUUGCUUUAAGGUGUUUAUAAUAUAUCCUGAUAAAAUAAAGUGUUAUUUUUGUGUAUGUCUUUGUGUUAAUUUAUAUAAAUGGUAUUGUCAGUAUUGUCUUAUAGAUCAUACUUUGUUUCAGCUCUUUUCACUCUAAAUAUUUAAGAUGUAUUUUGUUGCUGCAUAUGCAUAUACUAUAUUACUUCUAAGUGUAGUACGGUAUUUUAGAUUCUGUAUCCAUUGCAUUUGCUUAUCUGUUAUUCCCUUAAGGAUGGACACCUAAAGUAACUUUCAACUUUCUGUAACUACAAAAUAAUUGUAAAUAUCCUCAUGGUAAAUAUCCUCAUGUAAGUUGCCUUUUGGUUUGUGUGUUAGUUUAUACUCAGAUGUGUGAUUGUUGGAGCAUAGGAUAAUAUAUAUAUAUAUAUGGAAUUCAUUAGGUAUUGUCAGAUUAUUUUCUGUGAUACUGCUUCAGUUACACUCCUCCAGUAGAUGAUGAGAUAUCAUUUCUUUACUUUCUUACCUACAACUGCUGUUACCUGAUUUUUAAUUUUUAUUAAUCUGAUGGAUGUUAAGGUUUACCUCAAUAUUACAAUUAGUAUUUCUCUAAUUCUAGGGCAUUUCUCUGAUUUCUACACCUAUUUGCCUUUGAACUUCCUUUAAAUGAUUUGCUUACUUAAAUCCUUUGCCUGUUUUUCUAUUGAGAUUCCCUGUCUUUUUGUUAUUCAUUUGCAGCUGUUCUGAUGCAUGCCAAGUAUUGAGCUAGUUUUCCUAACACUAUCUGGACAUUAGUUGUGGUGUGACUUUACUUUUCUGAUAGCUCUAAAAAGAAUUGUUGAUUUUCAGUUAUUUAGCUUUUUUCUUGUUGUGAGGAUGGGAUGAUAACCCCUAAGCUCUUUACAUGUGAGACCAGUGCUGUUGACUUUUUAUAGAUUGACUUUGUGUUUGGUAACUUUGCAGAACUUUCCUACUGGUUUUAAUUAUUGUUAAUUCUAAUUGUCAUUAGAUUUUCUAUGUCACUUUCAAGUAAUUACAGUUUUGUAUGUUUCUUUCCAGUUAUUGUAUCUUCUAUUUUAUUUUAUUUUAUUUUAUUUUAUUUUUUUAAAUUUUUAUUUAUUUAUUCAUAGAGAUGCAGAGAGAGAGAGAGAGAGAGAGAGAGAGGCAGAGACACAGGCAGAGGGAGAGGCAGGCUCCAUACAGGGAGCCUGACGUGGGACUCGAUCCAGGGUCUCCAGGAUCACGCCCUGGGCUGCAGGCGGCGCUAAACCGCUGCGCCACCGGGGCUGCCCCUAUUUUAUUUUAUUUUAUUUUAUUUUAUUUUAUUUUAUUUUAUUUUAUUUUAUUUUAUUAUUUUAUUUUAUUUUAUUUUAUUUUAUUUUAUUUUAUUUUUUAUUUUAUAUUUUAUUUUAUUUUUUAUUUUAUUUUAUUUUAUUUUUUUAUUUUAUUUAUUUUAUUUUAUUUUAUUUUAUAUUUAUUUUAUUUUAUAUUUUAUUAUUUUAUUUUUUUUAUUUUAUUUUUUUAUUUAUUUUAUUUUUUUAUUUUAUUUUAUUUAUUUUAUUUUAUUAUUUUAUUUUAUUAUUUUAUUUUUUUUAUUUAUUCAUGAGAGACAGAGAGGGAGGCAGAGACAUAGGCAGAGGGAGAAGCAGGCUCCUCCUCACAGGGAGCCUAAUGCAGAGCUUGAUUCUGGAACCCAGGGAUCAUGCCCUGAGCCAAAGUCAGUCAACUGCUGAGCUACCCAGACGUCCCUCCAGUUAUUGUAUCUUCUAUUCUCUUUUUUUUUUUUCUUACUGCAUAGGAAUCUUUGCUAAGUGACUGCUAAAGUUCUAUGAAUCAUUUCUCAGUAUAGUGGUCAUUUAGAUAAGAACAAGUUAUCUACUGACCCUUUGAGAUUUUCAUGGUUAACAAUAAUUUUUAAAUGAUUUAUAGGCUCUUAAGUGAUUUAUUUUCUUAGGAAUUUAGAAUUUUCCGUCUCUGGUGUCAAAUUUCAUAUCUCUACUUGAAGAUUUAAAACCUCUUUUUAAUUUUGAAUGACCAGAAUUUAGACAUUAAGGUUCACAAAGUUUUCAUUUUUAAUGAGAAUGGUUGAAUUAUUAUAUACUUGCAUGCAUGUAUUGAGAUGAUAAUUUUUCUUUUUAAUGUAUUAAUGUGAAUUUUGUUGAUUUUCUAAUAUUAAACCACCUUUGGAUUCUUGGCAUAAAUUCAACUUGGUCAUAAUACAUUUCUUUAAAAGUUAUUAAAAUGUAUUUUGUUUAUUUUUAUUAUAUGUUAUUUUUAUAUAUUCUUCUGGAUUUGACUUGCUAAUGUUUUAUGAUUUUUUUCACUGACUUUUUCAGAUAUAUAAAAUGCUUCCUUUCAGACAUUCAAAGAGUUUUUAAAAUCUUUCUGCUUAUAAACAAAGGAUUUUCUUUUUCUUCUUCUUCUUUUUUUUUAAUAGAUUUUAUUUAUUUACUUGACAAAGAGAGAGCACAAGCAGGAGGUGUUGCAGACAGAGGGAGAGGGAGAAGCAGGCUCUCCACAGAUCAGAGCCCUGGUGCAGGGCUCUAUCCCAGGACGCUGGGAUCAUGAACUGAGCUGAAGGCAGACACCCAACUGAGCCAUCAGAUGCCUCACAAAGGAUUUUCUUGCAAUAUAACAGUCGCUCUUUGUCUUUCUCAGAAAAAAAAAAAAUCACACUAUUACUGUAUUAAUAGCUGAAUUUACAUUUUACUACAAAAUUGUAUGUUUCAUAGUUAAAUUCCUGAAAGGCUGUGUGUUGAUUCAGAUCACCACUAUUAAGUGGUUAGUUCUCAUAUCAAAUCCUCACAAUACCAUGUGCAUAUCAUAUUUUUGUGGAUAUUUUUUGAUGUCACAGGCCAAAUUUGGAUUUCUUUGAAGGUAUGAAAAUAAUUACUGAUUUUUUUUUCUUUUAUCCCCCCCUAUGCUGUACCUUUUAUUCCCAUCACUUGCUCCAUACCUGGAAGCCUGUACCUCCCACUCCCCUUUAUCCAUUUUUCCCAUCUCCCUAUUCCCCAUAUUCAUUAAUUUGCUUAAUAAAUAUUUAUUGAAUAUGUGCUAUGUAUCUAGUACUAUUCUAGAAGCUGAGGAUACAACAUUGAAAAAAAAAAAAAAA